This 774-nucleotide ribosomal RNA is filed under the name Scytinopogon sp. RNAcentral describes it as "partial large subunit ribosomal RNA". It matches the Rfam family "Eukaryotic large subunit ribosomal RNA", at positions 113 to 906 of the family's 3401-position model. Lineage: Eukaryota; Fungi; Basidiomycota; Agaricomycetes; Trechisporales; Hydnodontaceae. The record is from RNAcentral.
AUUUGAAAUCUGGCGGCUCUGCCGUCCGAGUUGUAUUCUGGAGAAGCGUCUUCCGCGCCGGACCGUGUACAAGUGCCUUGGAACAGGACGUCAUAGAGGGUGAGAAUCCCGUCUUUGACACGGACCCCCGGCGCUCUGCGAUGCGCUCUCGAAGAGUCGAGUUGUUUGGGAAUGCAGCUCAAAACGGGUGGUAAAUUCCAUCUAAAGCUAAAUAUUGGCGAGAGACCGAUAGCGAACAAGUACCGUGAGGGAAAGAUGAAAAGCACUUUGGAAAGAGAGUAAAACAGUACGUGAAAUUGUUGAAAGGGAAACGCUUGAAGUCAGUCGCGUCUGCCGGAACUCAGCCUCGCUUCUGCUUGGCGCACUUUCCGGUCCGACGGGCCAGCAUCGGUUUCGCGCGGCGGACACUGGCGGGGGGAAGGUGGCGGCUCCGGCCGCGUUAUAGCCUCUCGCCGCGAACGUCGCUCGGGACCGAGGAAUCCGGCGCGAGCCUGGGAUGCUGGCGUAAUGGCUUUAAACGACCCGUCUUGAAACACGGACCAAGGAGUGCUACGUGCUCGCGAGUGUUCGGGUGGAAAACCCGGGCGCGCAAUGAAAGUGAAAGUCGAUACCCCUCGCGGGGGCACCGACGCCCGAGCCCGAUGUUUUCGGACGGCCUUGCGGUAGAGCGAGUGCGUUGCGACCCGAAAGAUGGUGAACUAUUCCUGAGGAGGGCGAAGCCAGAGGAAACUCUGGUGGAGGCUCGUAGCGGUUCUGACGUGCAAAUCGAUCGCA